UCAGGCGUAGCUCAGUUGGUAGAGCAACCGGCUGUUAACCGGUUGGCCGGGGGUUCGAGUCCCUCCGCCUGAGCCA
RNAcentral lists this transfer RNA (76 nucleotides) under Bdellovibrionales bacterium. RNAcentral's name for it is "tRNA-Asn". It matches the Rfam family "tRNA". Rfam says of the family: Transfer RNA (tRNA) molecules are approximately 80 nucleotides in length. Their secondary structure includes four short double-helical elements and three loops (D, anti-codon, and T loops). The record is from RNAcentral. Lineage: Bacteria; Pseudomonadati; Bdellovibrionota; Bdellovibrionia; Bdellovibrionales.